CUACGUGCCAGCAGCCGCGGUAAUACGUAGGGCGCGAGCGUUGUCCGGAAUUAUUGGGCGUAAAGAGCUUGUAGGCGGUUUGUCGCGUCUGCUGUGAAAGGCCGGGGCUUAACCCCGUGUAUUGCAGUGGGUACGGGCAGACUAGAGUGCAGUAGGGGAGACUGGAAUUCCUGGUGUAGCGGUGGAAUGCGCAGAUAUCAGGAGGAACACCGAUGGCGAAGGCAGGUCUCUGGGCUGUAACUGACGCUGAGAAGCGAAAGCAUGGGGAGCGAACAGGAUUAGAUACCCUGGUAGUCCAUGCCGUAAACGUUGGGCACUAGGUGUGGGGGACAUUCCACGUUUUCCGCGCCGUAGCUAACGCAUUAAGUGCCCCGCCUGGGGAGUACGACCGCAAGGUUGAAACUCAAAGGAAUUGACGGGGGCCCGCACAAGCGGUGGAGUAUGUGGUUUAAUUCGACGCAACGCGAAGAACCUUACCAGGUCUUGACAU
Molecule: ribosomal RNA, 490 nt
Filed under: uncultured bacterium
Lineage: Bacteria
Description: bacterial SSU rRNA
Rfam family: Bacterial small subunit ribosomal RNA
Source: RNAcentral